This 316-nucleotide long non-coding RNA is filed under the name Vitis vinifera (wine grape). Its description in RNAcentral is "long non-coding RNA (VVIN_LNC004928)". Lineage: Eukaryota; Viridiplantae; Streptophyta; Magnoliopsida; Vitales; Vitaceae. The record is from RNAcentral.
UCACGGUUGGGCAUGUCAAACCUCCCAUUCAAGUUCCAACAUGGGGGAGGUAGAAUUCCUUGAGCUUCAGAAGGAACUCAUUGGAAGUAGGGCCACAAACAUGAAUUUUAACUCUACAAGCACAGAUGAUGAUCAUCCUACAAGCACGGAUGAUGAUCAUCCUACAGGCACGGAUGAUGAUCAUCCUACAAGCACGGAUGAUGACUCAAAUGAUAUUGCAUACAGUGCACAAGAGAAGCAAGGGUGUUGUGAGGUUGUGACUAGGAAGGAUCAGUUAGUGAGGCUAGGUGAGGAACACCCUGCUUGGAUGUUGGUC